GUUUAUGUAGAUUAAAAUGUAAAGCACGGCACUGAAAAUGCUGAGAUAAAAAUUAAAUAUUUUUCAUAGACA
This 72-nucleotide transfer RNA is filed under the name Boulengerula boulengeri (Usambara bluish-gray caecilian). RNAcentral's name for it is "tRNA-Phe". It matches the Rfam family "tRNA". Rfam says of the family: Transfer RNA (tRNA) molecules are approximately 80 nucleotides in length. Lineage: Eukaryota; Metazoa; Chordata; Amphibia; Gymnophiona; Herpelidae. The record is from RNAcentral.